AUUGGGAGGAUGAAAGCGGAGCAGCAGCAUCACCACAAGAAGGCGCUGAAGAGCCUCGACUCUGCUCCUCUAUUCAAAAGACACACAGGGCCUUCUGGAAUCAAGGGGUUGCCAAGAUGUCCCUGCAGUGAUGAACCUCUCUGGCUGCGCUGCCAAGGGAAGGGUGUAAAAACAGCCCGGAGCCAACGACGCAGAGCCGCACUGAUACUGGAGGUUUCCACAGUGGCUGUGGAAUAAGCCACCGCACAUCAGCCCUGUCAGGUUUGGCUUGUUGGGCCACUGUGUAUUUAUACGUGAACCACAAAGAGGCAGGUGAAGAGGCAGGAUCACCCUCAGUGAGCCUCUCCCAAGAGAAACAAAACCUCAUCUGAUAAAGCACUGUCUCUACAGUUUACGAGUCUAAAGAAAUUGUCUGAGUACAGCAGUAACAUUACACCUAUUUGUAUUUGUUAAUGAUGUGUUUGUAUUUAUGAGGAAAAAGCAAUAUAAACAUAAAGCAAUGCAUUAUUUAACUGUUCUCUCCAUAUAAGCUAUAUAAGUCCCAUCCAAAAAACUGUAUCAGUGAAUAAUUUAGAAAUGUUUUUAUUCGUUAACUCUUGUAAAAAAGACUUGCUUCUAAAACAAGUAUAUAGCAUUAAGACUGACACAAAUACAUUAUAAACUAGAUUCAAGUUUUCGUCUGUUUGGAUCAACACAUCAUUUUACAAAUCUGAACAAAUUGCAUCUCUUGCAACUCUCUGUCACCCUGGGAGUAAAAGCCACAUUUUAAAUGAACACGUGCAAUAACGUGGAGCGAUUUCAGUUCACUUCCUGCCUAAUUAUCCUUCCACACUUCUCAGUAAGGUUCCGACUUCCUCGCAGGUCCUGCCGUGUCUGAAGUGAUUCUUCGAACCCCCUAAGUCGCCUCCUCAUCUUCGCUGACCUUUAAAGACCAAUCCUCCAGCGUCUCGGGCACCUGGAAGCGGCUCGAUAGUUCCACGGAGAGUGCGACUCUUGUUGGGCAAAAUCAAUGGGCGGUUUCCCCACAGCAUUCGUCUCGGUGUUUACGUUGGCCUAAUCAGCAAGAGAAAAAUCACCGACGCUGUUCAACUCUCACAGGCCCCGCGCAGUAAUAAUGCUGUGCGCUAAUGCUAAUCUGUUAUCUCAGGUGCUCUGGCAUCUUCUGCUGCAGAGGGUCUGUUAAGCAGCCUCGCUGUCCUGACGCUUGUUUAUUAAAGCCUCCAUUUGCUCCUUAUUUCUUUAACCUCAACACAGCACCUGUAAAAGCUCCUUAGCCGUUUAGCAAUCCAGGUCAAGUAGCCUCAGCAGGACUUCUGGCAACAUGGAAAAGAGAUGAAAGCCUGAUUAGGAUCAUCAGCGCUUCUAUUUUUAACGGUCGGCCUGAAUGCAAACAUCAUAACCUGCUGAUGUUUAUAUGCUGCCUUCAGCAUCGAUCCUUUGAACACAUGUCAGUGCAAUGAGCUGCUUUAUUUUGGUUUUAAAUCAGCUCGUGGUCAUUAAACGCGCCAGAGGAGCGUCUCGCGUGGCUCCUGUGGUCGAAGCGUGAUCGAUGCCUCCCGCUCCGUCGCUGUCGCCGGGACUGAGCGGAGGUGAUAACGAGAGCGUGACCGUCUCCCUUUGUCUCAAACGCCCACUCGGCCCGCGGACGCUCAGGCUGGAACACACUGACAGCGCAUAGGAAGGGGAUGUGGUGCAGUCGCAAACAUACACCCUUGUGCUCAGCAAAUCAGAGCUGUGAGUCACCUAUUGGAAAUGUGGCAACUAAGGCAAGCACUUGAUAUGCAGGCAUCUGCUUUGUGGCUUAUCUCCGCUGCUCAACUGUGCAGAGCAAUUGGCGCUUGGCUGGCCCUGCAGAAAGCUUCCUCUUUUCUCAUUCUCUCCUUCUUCUCUGCAUCAUUUUCUCUGCCUUCCUGCACAGUUUGGUUUUUCUGAAGUUGUUCUUGGCUUUUUUUUGGGGGGGGGGCAUUGCUGGGAUAAUUUCCAACUGUGUCAGCUACUGUACAAUCAAAUGGAUGGUUUCAUUCUAUUGUGAUGAAGGUUAGUGGUGAAACAGUGAUGCUGGUCAGAGAAUGAAGGACUGAGACCAGCUAGAAGACUAAAUGAGACUAUGCCUCGCUACCGGGUCCCCAGUAGCUUAAGGGGGCUUUAAGGGCCAUUACAAAAUCCUGAACUUGCAUCCAAUAUCAAAUGAUAAAUAAAAAUGCUGUUGCAUUUGGAACCA
This is a long non-coding RNA of Betta splendens (Siamese fighting fish), 2221 nucleotides long. The record is from Ensembl. NCBI's taxonomy places the organism in Eukaryota, Metazoa, Chordata, Actinopteri, Anabantiformes, Osphronemidae.